CUGAAGGAACACAUAGUGUCUAUAAGGUCUUCGUGUAGUAGUGACUAUGGAGCAGAGCAUAGGUGAAUACAGAUUUUGCAUACCAUGAAUGUUUCUGCGCAAGGACUGCUUCUCCUAAACACUAGUUUCUUUUCCAAUUUCUCCUUCCGAGGGUUUCGCAGGUUGUCAGUUGUUCGACGUUCGCAGCAGUGUCACGGGCUGAGAAGAGGUUUCUCGAAAAACAUGGCUUGCAGUGUGGAAAAUUGUGAUAUGGGUAAUGGGGUGGUUCAUCCAGCCACGGAUGCCUAUGCUGGAGAGGCAGUUGAAGCUUUGAAAGCUGGGAAAGUCAUAGCGGUACCCACCGAUACACUCUAUGGGUUUGCUUGUGAUGCUUGCUCAUUGGAAGCGGUUAACAGGAUUUAUGAGAUCAAAGGCCGUAGACACACAAGCCCUCUGGCUAUUUGUGUUGGCGACGUAUCAGACAUAACCCGUUUUGCUGUCACUGACCAUUUACCUCAUGGUCUGCUUGAUUCCCUCCUACCUGGGCCUGUUACAGUUGUACUAAAACGAGGAGAGUCAAGUGUUCUUGAACGAUCUUUGAACCCAGGAUUGGAUAGUAUAGGAGUUAGAGUGCCUGAUUGCAAUUUCAUCAGGACCAUUGCCCGUGCUUCAGAAACUGCUUUAGCCCUCACCAGUGCAAACUUAAGUGGACAGCCAAGUAGUCUUUCCACCAAAGAUUUUGAAAACCUCUGGGAACACUGUGCUUUUGUUUAUGAUGGUGGUUUGAUUCCAUCAAGUCGUGCAGGUUCUACAGUUGUGGACCUCACUACACCACAAAGAUACAGGAUACUUAGACCUGGAAGUGCAAAGGAAGAGACAAUUUCCAUCUUGGAGAAGCAUUCUUUCGUUGAGACAGUGACCUCUUAAAUAAGUUGUGAUUCAUUUUCAGUGUGACAUUGUAGACCUAAUGUCCCACUUGCAAAAUCAAACAAUUCUUUCGCUUGACAAUUGAUACAUUAUGACCGUAGUGCGUUGUAAACUGUGGGAUUCCUUCAAUAUUCGAACAUCUUUGAAACAUAAAGCAACCACUGGAUAUGGAUGUUGAACUGGGUUGCGUCUUGCGUCACAGAACAGGCUUUUCAACAGUAUUUUAGAAGAUUAUUUUAUAUCAGAAAUAUUGAGAUUAUACUUCUAAUCAUUAUAAAAAAAAAACACUUUAAAGAACUUAAAAAAAUCUUUAAAUAAACACAGACAAACGUACCCUGAAUAGAGAAUCUAUAAUUUUCAUUUGAUCAAGGGUAAACCUGCAAAUUUGAGUUUCUUAAUAGACUCUUGGAGUUUGGAGUUGUUUUCUUUUCAUAUUAUCUAAUGGAGAUAUUUUUAUCUGAAUUAGGUAGGAUUGCACUAAACAAUGAAGUUCUUUCAUUUAAUAUACUUGCAUAGCUCGAAUUUGAAUUUGAGACUACUUAAUGAGAUAAAGUAAUCAAGGACUGUUAUAACCUUUCAUGUUUAAUGUGCUAACAGAAUUAUUUUGUUGCACGUCCUUUGUCAGACAUAAACGAUGUCAAAGAUUG
Molecule: RNA transcript, 1553 nt
Organism: Vigna angularis (adzuki bean)
Lineage: Eukaryota; Viridiplantae; Streptophyta; Magnoliopsida; Fabales; Fabaceae
Exons: 6
Source: RefSeq, a predicted model, not a curated record